CUACGGGGUGCAGCAGUAAGGAAUAUUGGUCAAUGGACGAAAGUCUGAACCAGCCAUGCCGCGUGAAGGAUUAAGGUCCUCUGGAUUGUAAACUUCUUUUAUGUGGGACGAAAAAAGGUCUUUCUAGAUCACUUGACGGUACCAUAUGAAUAAGCACCGGCUAACUCCGUGCCAGCAGCCGCGGUAAUACGGAGGGUGCAAGCGUUAUCCGGAUUCACUGGGUUUAAAGGGUGCGUAGGCGGGCAGGUAAGUCAGUGGUGAAAUCCUGGAGCUCAACUCCAGAACUGCCAUUGAUACUAUCUGUCUUGAAUAUUGUGGAGGUAAGCGGAAUAUGUCAUGUAGCGGUGAAAUGCUUAGAUAUGACAUAGAACACCCAUUGCGAAGGCAGCUUACUACGCAUAUAUUGACGCUGAGGCACGAAAGCGUGGGGAUCAAACAGGAUUAGAUACCCGCGUAGUC
RNAcentral lists this ribosomal RNA (459 nucleotides) under uncultured bacterium. RNAcentral describes it as "partial 16S ribosomal RNA". It matches the Rfam family "Bacterial small subunit ribosomal RNA", at positions 339 to 795 of the family's 1533-position model. The record is from RNAcentral.